This is a long non-coding RNA of Monodelphis domestica (gray short-tailed opossum), 943 nucleotides long. RefSeq lists it as uncharacterized. NCBI's taxonomy places the organism in Eukaryota, Metazoa, Chordata, Mammalia, Didelphimorphia, Didelphidae. The record is from RefSeq and is a predicted model, not a curated record.
GAAAAUGCUUAGCGUCAGUGUGCUAAUACCUGGUCAACGAGCAGUUCAGGAGCCCUGGCUCGGGCCUCCCUGCCCCCUCUCCCUUCCCCUCCCCCUCCUCCUCCCCUCGUGGAAGGAAGUCAUUUAGGUCUGAGUGCCUCAGCCUCCGGCACAAUGUGCCUAAAUGUUUGGGGAACAAGUGCGUUCAUACGGACCCCAAAGCAACACAACCCCAACUCGAGCCCGGGCUUUCGUGGCCGCGAGUCACAGGAUCAGUCCAUGAGGCCGGGAUUGGUGGCAAAGAGUAAACAACCAAACGGCUAUUUUGAGGUAAACCCACCACUUCGUUCCACAAAAGGAAUUUAUUUCCCUAAAGAUUUUCAGUAGCCGCGUGAGACACCAAGGAGAAUACUGCGCCCCCUCCAAGCCCUGGCGGAAGUCUUUUCCGGCUUAUUCAGGCUCGGAUCAGCUUGCGGGGAGACCUCCUUUAUGGGAUAGCAAACCACUGAAAACAAGACAAAUGCCCAUCAAGGUAGAUAGUCAUUCGGACUACACAAACUGUGGACCAUGAAUGUUAAGAAAUAUGACUGCACUAUUGGGCAAAAUAUAUGUGACAAAUACAGAGAAGCUUGGAAAGAUCCAUAUGAACAGAGGCAGAGUGAAGUACCACCACACAUCACAAAAAUCAAGAGUGAAUGUAACAAAAUUCUAAAGAUUCAGCAAGACUUGAAUGAAGAAAAAUGAGACGGCACCCUCAACCCACUCCUUUGUGAAAAGUCCACAGAUGAUGCACAUAUGUAUUUAUGGAUUGUAAUGAUUUUCUUUCUCAUUUUUAUUUUGGUCUUUAAAAAAUACUAUUUGUUAUACUAGACAGCUCUCCAGGAGAGAGAAAAGAGGGAUGCUGGGGAAAGUAUGAUGAUGUAAAAUAGAAGGCAUCAGUAAAAUUUUAUUUUUAGAAAAUGGA